AUUUACUUCGAAUUCUUACGAAGUUUUCAAUUUCGCUUUUCGAUCCAAUUCUACGCCCGGAAAACGCAAACUGUGCCUUUCAAUUUUGUUCCACGUUGUCGCGAUUUCCCCGGAGCCCUGUGGCUGAUUCAACAAGAUGAUGACGUGAUUUUCGCAAGAAAACCCUUGAAAUUGCGUAAACAAGUGCAAGACAUGACGUUGCUCACGAGUCAAGGGUCACACGCCAGAAAUACUCUGGAGAGCGAACCAAGGCACGAUAAAUAGUUGUUGAACGUAGUGCGGCAUCGCGGUCAGUGACACGUUUACGACAUCAU
Molecule: unclassified non-coding RNA, 314 nt
Filed under: Bombus terrestris (buff-tailed bumblebee)
Lineage: Eukaryota; Metazoa; Arthropoda; Insecta; Hymenoptera; Apidae
Description: misc RNA ENSBTSG00005036081.1
Source: RNAcentral